RNAcentral lists this ribosomal RNA (403 nucleotides) under uncultured bacterium. RNAcentral's name for it is "bacterial SSU rRNA". It matches the Rfam family "Bacterial small subunit ribosomal RNA", at positions 28 to 421 of the family's 1533-position model. The record is from RNAcentral.
GACGAACGCUGGCGGCGUGCCUAACACAUGCAAGUCGUACGGGACCGGGGGCGAACUCCGGUUCAGUGGCAGACGGGUGCGUAACACGUGAGGAACUUGUCCGGUGGCGGGGGAGUAGCCGGCCCAACGGCCGGGUAAUACCGCAUACGCUCGUUCGGGGGCGAUCCCUGGGCGGAGGAAAGCAGCCGCAAGGUUGCGCCGACGGAGGGCCUCGCGACCUAUCAGCUUGUUGGCGGGGUAACGGCCCACCAAGGCGACGACGGGUAGCUGGUCUGAGAGGAUGAUCAGCCACAUUGGGACUGAGACACGGCCCAGACUCCUACGGGAGGGCAGCAGUGGGGAAUAUUGCGCAAUGGCCGCAAGGCUGACGCAGCGACGCCGCGUGUGGGAUGACGGUCUUCGG